UUAAGUGACGAUAGCCUAGGAGAUACACCUGUACCCAUGCCGAACACAGAAGUUAAGCCCUAGAACGCCGGAAGUAGUUGGGGGUUGC
RNAcentral lists this ribosomal RNA (88 nucleotides) under Streptococcus pneumoniae. The record is from RNAcentral. Lineage: Bacteria; Bacillati; Bacillota; Bacilli; Lactobacillales; Streptococcaceae.